Molecule: non-coding RNA, 13437 nt
Organism: Rattus norvegicus (Norway rat)
Lineage: Eukaryota; Metazoa; Chordata; Mammalia; Rodentia; Muridae
Source: RefSeq, a predicted model, not a curated record
AGUGUGGGCUUGGGGUACGGAAGUGUCACAAUGUGUGGUGUGUGCUCCUCUUAUUUGCACAAGCAUAAGUCCAGGGUCACACGGCUUGGUUUACACUGAGUCACCAGGUCGUUGACACUUUCUGCCGGUCCCCUACGGGACCCUCACUCAGAUCAAUUCUGGACCCCACCGAGGCUGUCGCUGCUAUGUAUUCAAAUGCUAAUUCAAAUACUGAAUCCCAAGAACUGUUGGCCGCAAGAAGACUGAGUUCUCUCUCCAUGGGCUUUUGUUGUGCAAACUUUGCCGAGCACAGUUGAGAGUCUGCAACCAUUUCCUGGUGGCCAUCAAAUCCUUCCUGAAUCUGGAAAAUCUGGGCUGUUUUGAGGUGACAUUGACCCUGCACAUCAGCUUGGCUGAAGAAGCCAGUCAGAGCCAAGAGUAGACACCUGUGUUCUGCAGUCUGGCAGUUCCACAUCAGGAAGGACUCGGGGACAAAUCUGAACCGUGUUCCCAGCAGCCUGCGAGGGUGGCACUGUGGGAGUUCUGUCUCAGCUAAAUCAAGACUCAGUGAUGCUACUCUUCCGCGCCACAGAGGUAGCUGCCAGCUCUGCACGGGGGGUCAGUCAGUCAUCGCCUCCAGAGAGCACACAGACCCCCACACUACUAGGGUGAGAGAGGCAGUGGACGCCGAGACACAGGUAGGAAGCUGUGGAACGUCCAGGCAGUUGCAAGCAUGUCUGCAUAGAGGGCCCUGUGUUCCCACAGAACACUGUCGCUGCUGCCCAGUGCAGAUGGGGGUGAGGUGUGCGGGAACACGACUGAGAGUUACAAACAGCAACACCACAGAGUGUUCUCAAGAGCAUUCUCACCAAACUGCUAGCAGAUAGCACUGGGGUGAUGGGCUUAGGGAAGGUUCCUGUUCGUUCUCUCCUUUAUUAAUAUUGGGGAUGGACGGUGGAGAAGCCAGCCUCUCCUGUGUCCACUCUCCGACAUGUGGAAAAGUACAUGGAGGACUCCCCCAUCCCCAUCCCCACACUCCUUUUUUUUUUUUUAACCUUCCCAAAUAUCGGACCCAUCUACCUACACUCAACAUUCUACAAUGUUCCUUCAUGGACUGUUACGAGCCACCCUUGCAAAUGAUCGACUUUCGUUACCUGCCGUAGUCAUAUGCUAUAAAAUCACCACAAACAUGAGGGAACCAUAGGUCCUGAGGUAAAUGCAGGAUUAGGUUCCUGUGAGCACUCAGUCAAGAGGGGGCAAGUAUGUAUAUGUGUUGGCUAAAUACGCAAGUGCUGUUCCUCAUGUAGCUCAGGUAGUGGUCCAUUUUUUUCUUUUCUUUCUUAAGUCAGGGUCCUUACACUGGACAAGUAGGCUAAUCUGACUGGCCAGGGUUUCUCUGUGUAUCCCUGGCUGUCCUAUGUAGACCAGACUGGCCUCAAACUCACAGAAAUGUCCCUGCCUCUGUCUCCAGAUUGCUGGGACUAAAGGUGUGUGCCACUAUUGAUCAACUAGAGAGGAUCCAUUUGUCUGUCCUCCCCGAGUGCUGGCAUUUCAAACACACACGAUCACGACUUGGCUUUUUACAAAUAUUUUUUAAAUUUAUCUUAUUUAAUGUGCAUGUAUGUUUUGUUUGCGUUGCAUGAGUCUGUGGCACGUGAGUGCUUGGUGACCCUGAAGGCCAGAAGAGGCAUCAUAUCCUCUGGAACUGGAGGUAGAGAUGGUUCUGAGCAACCGUGUGAGUGAUGGGAAUUGAACCCAGGUCCUCUGCAAGUGCUCCUAACCACUGAGCCACACCUCCCAGCUCCUCCCUUUUAAAAAUGUGGGUUCUGAAAAAAGCAAGCCCCUCACUAUCUCUCCAGCCUCAUCCUAUAGUCUCAACCAAUCAACGUAUGAGUUUGGAGUUUCCGUUUAAAGAUACCUCUGUUCCUACAGUCUCCUAGGCACUCACUGAUGUCAGUUCACAACUAGCAAUUCUGUAACUCUCGCCUGAACAAAACUUACCAAACACACAUAUUUCUCUCUAAUGUCACUAACAGUAUGUAGUCACCCUUGUCAUAGGUCCCUCUGGGGAAGGACUGGAGAAAGGCUGACAGUAAAGCUUUUAGGUUUGUUUGUUUUUUAAGGUCCUUUCUCAGAGGAACCUGCCUGUCCCUUCACUCAAGAGGUUCUGGCUGUACAAAAUGUCUCAAGUCCAGAAAUUGGUUCACAGGUCAAAAUUCCCUUUUUGCCACAAUCCAAUGUAGCCUUUCUUUCAUUUGAGAAUUUUUGGAGGCUUCUUGUCUAUUUCAUGCCUGGAAACACCAUGAUUGAUUAGCCAGUACCAAAGGUCCAAGAGUCAUAUCACCAUAGAAACCACUUUGUCUAUACAGUCUGCCCAUUAUGGUCUAGCAUAAGGAAAAGGGUGACAGCAAAGCUCCCCAAGUGUGGUGGUGGCCCUCUCACCACUUUGUGUCUUAUAGAAUGAGUGACAGGCACAUCUUCUAGGCCUUCCCACUGUAGAGGAUCAGGUUUUACACAGAGUAUCCAUUCUAACAUUACAAAAACUCUAAUUUUUUCAAUGCCUGUUUUUAAUGAUGGUUCUUAAACUCUAACCUCCCUUGUAGCCCGCCACCCACCAAAGGUAGUGGAAAAAGAAAGGAUAUGGGGGAAGAGGAUCUGUUUAGAAAGGUUCUUUGGAGCAAGUCCCAUCUGUGUUGUCUGGAAAUCGGCAGUUCUGUUUACAGGUCAGCAGCAGCAGCUCGAUCCACUCUCAAGUUCAGCAGAGUCGGGUUAGCAAACACGAAUCAGCAGCCAUGGUACUACCUAGCAGAGACAGCCAGGUCUCAGCCUUGGCUUGAGUCAGCAGGAGGGACCAGGAGGAAUGCUGGGAGAGAAGUUCUCAGCUGUGCCUCUCUCAGGGAAGGGAAGAUCAGCAAAGACUUGAGCUAGACCCCCAGGCAUGGCACAACUGACUCCACGAGCAAGCCAAGGUCUAAAAGCUGCACUACGACAUUACAUCAUCAAAUUGGAUUUGUUCCUGUAAGUCAGCAUCACGCCCUUGACCAAGCGGCUGGUCUUUAGUCACAUUUGUACCCCUUGCUAAAUUACAUUGUGCCAGUUUUGUGGCUUCGUGCCUCUACCACAACAACCAUCGUAAUUGUUGACUGGCUUCUAGAACUGCUGACACCACCCACUUCCAACCUUGUGGGAUAACCCUGUGCUGUACAGCCCAGUUAUUUAGCAUUUCUUUGACAAAGAAAGAAUGUAAGCCGUGCAAUACCACAGCCUCCUUAAAAUGCUUUAAAUCUGACAGAUAAUCCUGUCCACCAUUGUUAGCAGGCAUAUGUUGCACAAAGACUGGGAAGGCUGAAGGUGGCUGUGUGGACCUGAGAAAAUUCUCUGGUGAUGCACUUGGGCUACCCUUUAACCUGUUGUACCUGUGCGGUUUCCUGCUCUUUCAGGCCCCUAGAAGCAGGGCUGGGUUAGCUUGCUUCCCGCUUUCAUCAGGCAGUACAUUCCGGUUCUCCUUCACCAAGCCUGAAGUUUGUCCUCCUCCCAGUGGCCUUUUCUGUUUUCUGAGCACUUUGUCCUUUAUCCACAAGCUCUCUAAGUGCAUAGCCAACUCUGCAAUCUUCUCUGACAGAAGAGAAUUGUCAGGUUUCCCAUUAAAACUUUUUCAGAAUAGCACACAUGAAAACUAUGAAGCAAAACCGAAGCAUUGCAAUUUCCCUGAACCUUAAAAUUCCUUCAUCAGCACUAAGGUAAGGGAUGUAAGCAUCUCCAACUCUUCCCGUAGGCCAGCUUUUGAUAAUAAUUGUGGGAGCACCCGUAUUAAAUCUAGAAUCUCCACUCAGAGGGCCCAUUUCAAUAAACUCAGCCUGAUUCGAUUUUAUGUUCCUUCCACCAUUAUCCCACACCCUUAAAAUCCGUUUCCACACAAAUUCCCCAGACUUCUGCUUGGAUCAAUUAGUAAACUCAUGAAGCUCUUUAGUAGUGUAGUGCAUCUCCUCAUGGACCAUGCUUUCUACCUCCCCUCUAGGAGCCUUGAGUCUGGUUGUAGGUCUAGAGGCAACUCUUGGUGGGCCCUGAGGGACAUCAGUAUUGUCUUGCCUGGCAUCUCCUUCAGGGAAUGCCACAGCUGCUUUAGCAGACAAUGAAGAAUUGAUUUCCCCAGGCAACGGUGGAAGAGGCAAUAUUUCAGUGCUUCUGGUGGCAGUAAAUCUUCUGCUGUGGGUGGAGAGACUAUUCCCUCAGGUGAAUCCGAAGGUUCAGGUUCUCAGCCCCAAUGGGGUACUCCCACACAUCUCCAUCCCAAGACACAGGGUCCCAUUCUUUAACCAGUUAAUGCCUUUACAUCGUGGGAGGCUGGGACUUAACAUUUUCUUUGUAAUUCAGCCAAUCAUUUUUUUUGUUUUUUUGUUUUUAACAUUUAUUUAUUUUUUAUGUAUACAUCAUACAGCUUUCUGCCUGCAUGUAUACUUGCAGGCCAGAAGAGGGCACCAGACCUGAUGAUAGAUGGUUGUGAUUAUAGAUGGUUGUGAGCCACCAUGUGGUUGCUGGGAAUUGAACUCAGGACCUCUGGAAGAGCAGACAGUGCUCUUAAACUCUGAGCCAUCUCUCCAGCCCCUUGUUUUGCUUUUCAAGAUAGGGUUUCUCUGUGUAGCCUCAGCUGUCCUGAAAUUUACUCUGUAGAACACCAGGCUGACCUUGAACUCAGAGAUCUCCCUGCUUCUGUCCUCCGAGUGCUGAGAUUAAAGGCACCACGCUCAGCUAAUCUUACAAUCAGGGCUUCCAUUUGAUUUUCCACAACUUGAGCUCUGUGGCUGCUGGAGAGGAGAUUUUCUUUCAUGGCACACUCAGAACCCUCUACACGGUUUAUGCACCUCUGGAACUGGUAAGUUUUACUUCCGAGUUCAUUGCUGUCCACUGUGUUCUGAGAUGAUAGAGGUUGGCUAACUUUAUCCCAGAGCACAUUGUUUUCCUUUGUUAAUUUAUUCAGGGAUGCUAGGAGCAAUCAAACAGCAGCGCUGUUUUCCUUAUUUUUCCAAAAAUUGUCAUACGUUUUAUAUAGAGAGUUGCCAAAUCUGUUGCCUCUCACAGUUGGCCAAUCAGGAUAGCCAAAGACAUUUGUCUCCUUUGUUUGUAAAAUAGUUCACACCGUGGGCUUUUAGGACUUUCCCAGCUUCUAGGAGAGUUUCAGUAACUGAGGUGGGGGCUCUGGUGAUUGUAGGUGUUGGAUACAUGGAAAGCCUAUUCCAGACACUUGAGAAAUUCAUCCUGUAGCAGUGAGUUUAGGCUACACUUCUUUGGCUUUUGGUGGAUCGAACACUCGAACACUCGCACCCACCCAGUAGCUAUCUUUGGAUCCUUGAAUGAAACACACAUAUACACACGCACACACUAGCUUGUUUUUAAAAUGCCUUGGCUACCUCAAAGGCUGGGCAUUCUUAAGCCUUCCCCUGCUACCCCAGGCUCAAUCCGGGAAGUGGUCAGAGGCCACCCACCUGAGUUCUCACAUGGCUCAUUGGUCCUCUCUCCUGCAACUCUCCUCUCCUACCACAUCCUGGCAAUCCUCUGUCUCCUUCCACUGAGUCCUAGCCCACACAACUCUAAGGCCCUGCCUCAGCCAUUGGCCAUUGGCAUCUUUACUGAUCGAUCAAAAACCAAUUGGGGACAAGGAAGAGUUUGGACACACAGAUUCCCAACUGAAUCAAAGCAUUAGAGCCAAUCUCCAACACAUCCUUAUACUUCUGCUGCUCUGUAACCACUUCUGGCACCGAAAUCUGUGUGAGUCUGGGUUCUUUAGAACUGAAUCAAUACACUGAAUGCAUAUGGCUUACAGGCUGUGUGGUCCAACUAGUCUAACAUGUCUUUCCAACAGAAAGUUCAAGAAUCCAGCAGUUGUUUGGUCCACAAGGCUGGAUGUCUCUGUUGGUUUUUGGUAUAUAUCAGAAUCCCGAAGAAAAAGAAUGCUCAAAUAGCAGUGAAGGAAGAGACUUGCAGUGAGAGAGACUAAAAGCCUCCUCCUUCUAUGUCCUCUACAUUGGCUGCCAGACAAAAGGGGGCUGGAGAGAUGGCUCAGUGGUUAAGAGCACCCGACUACUCUUCCAGAGGUCAUGAGUUCAAUUCCCAGCAACCACAUGGUGGCUCACAACCAUCUGUAAAGAGAUCCGAUGCCUUCUUCUGGUGUAUCUGAAGACAGCUACAGUGUACUUAUAUAUAAUAAAUGAAUAAAUCUUUAAAAAAAUUUUUUUUCAGAUUAAAAGUGUGGUAUUCCACUUCAAAUGACUUAAUUCAGGGAGAAAAAAUAAUCCCUCACAGGUGUGCCCAGCCACUUGGAUUUUAGUUAAUUCAAAAUGACAACCAAGAACAACCAUCCCAACCACCAUGCCUGACUAGAUGGAAGGGGUUCCCCCAACUGUGUUCCUCCCUGCAGGAGGCUACAUUGUUAUGAUAUCCUGGUGUCCUGUGGAUGCCACUCAGAAGUUUCAGGGAGAGGCCAUGGAGAUGGCUGAGAGCCAGCACGUGUUUCUCUGAUCUAGUCCUAGAGAUGCCAGCUUUCUGGGGACCCUUGUGUCACUUACACAGGGGCUGGAAAUGUGACUGUGACUUUCACCAUGCUGUUGCUGUGCCCUCUUUGGGCUCGGGCUCACCCAGGUCCAGCCUGGUCAUGGUCCCCCCAUCUUCAGGACUAUAAGUAUCUCACUGGGCUCAGCCUGGCUUCAGAUGGCUCUUGGCUGGGUGUGGGCCGCUGGCCACUUAGAAGGCCCCCUGUAAGGAUGAAGGGGAGCGGCCAGUCUCUGUCCACUUGCUUGGGGCCCCCAUGCUGAGAGUCAGAGCAGCUUCGAUUGCUAUGGGACCUUCCCAGCACAGGCGACUGUACCCCCAGGUCCCAGCCUCUCAGCUACAGGCCUUUGCUAUAGUUUGGGAGACACUGAGUUAUCGGUGACCCCUACUCUCUCUUCCAAUCCAUGCUCUACAUAUUUUUAUCUUUUUUUUAAGAUGUAUUUAUUUUUAUGUGUGAGUACACUGUCACUAUCUUCAGACACACCAGAAGAGGGCAUUGGAUCCCAUUACAGAUGGUUGUGAGCCACAAUGUGGUUGCUGGGCUCUUAACCACUGAGCCAUCUCUCCAGCCCCUCAACAUAUCUUUUCUCUGGAGCCUCAAGGCUUGCUUGGUGUCUGUGAGUCCCAAGGUGUGUCUACCUGCCUGGUUCAGACUCUGACUUCGGAAGCCAGGCUUUUCGUCUUUGGAAUAGAAGUAGAUCAAGCCCUAGCACUAACACUUAGCCUCUCCUCCCCAUGGCCACCGAACUCCUGGGAAUAGGGUUAGGGAUUGGGGGUGGCUAGUCAGGCAGUGACUAUCCCUGACUCUGGGGAUCCACAGAAAACAUGAGCCCUCAGCCAGAGAAAUCAAUGGGCAUUUGAUCCCUGAUGGACACCAUGCUGGCAUAGGAGAGUCCACAGUAGGAAGAAAGGGUUCUUGCUUUCUGUGCUGGAAGCCAGCGUGCAUGCUCUCCUGUCCUGGGCCAGGAAGAUGUUGCAUAUCCCAGCAAAUGGAAUUGUACAGCUGUGUCUGCUACAUAUUCUCUACUGGAACGGGCCUGUUUCCACCCUCCUGUCGGGAGUUACCGGUAGGUAUCACUACUCUACUCCCCCUGGGACUACAGAGGAUAGAAGGCGUCUUAGUCCGGGUUUCUGUUGCUGUGAUGGAACACCAUGAGCAAAGCAGCUUGGGGAAGAAAGUGUUUAUCUCUUCACAUCGCUGAAGGAAGUCAGGGCAGGACUUCCUGGAGGAAGGUGGGAACCUGGAGGCAGGAGAUGAGGCAGAGGCCAUGGAGGGAUACCGCUUCCUGGCUUGUUCCUCGUGGCUUGCUCAGUGUACUUUCUUCUGAUCCUCAGUCAGACGCGUUAUCGGUUGCGCCAAUGGGCCCAGUCUCUGUGCUUUCUUAAAGAACCUCAUACCACCAGCCCAGGGGUGGCCGCCCCCAUAGUCGGCUGAGCCCUCCCUCAUCCAUCAUCGAUGAAGAAAAUUCUCCUCAGGCUUCCCUGCAGCUCUUAUGGAGGCAAUUUCUUGAUUGAAGUCUUUCCUCUCAGGUGACGCUAGCCUAUGUAAAACUGGCAUAAAGUUAGCCAGCACAGAAGGCUAAGACUACAUUUCCCAGAAGCCCUUGCAGCCAGGCUGUGCCUGUGACUUACAUUCUGCUUAAAGAUAAACACUGAUGUGGCCCAGCACUGGUCGGCGAGCUCUGGCUCAAAAGGUUUUGGGGUAGACCCACCUUACGGCACUCUUCAGUCACGGGCUCUAUAUUAUGGUGACAGCGAGAUCCUCUGUCCUCUGAACUGGGUCAUGGGGAUGGUGUGAUCUUGGGUCUAUGGGACACCUAGUUCCCAGCUCCCAGCACACAAAAGCCCUCUAUUACACCUCUUUGCUUAAACAGCCAGAAUCUUUCUGGUUCCAGCUCACAACUCUGAAUAGCGCAGAAAGUACAUAGGUCAAAAAGGAGUGUAUUCUUACUGGGGAGAGUCAUGAGGUCAUUCCACAAAUAGUGACUGGGCUCUUUGUGUAGGUCAUACCUUAGGAAGAGGGGUGUUUUAGUUACUUUUCUGUGGCUGUGGUUAACAGCGAGACCAAGGUGACUUAUAGAACAGGCACUUUAUUUGGGUUCAGAGGGUUAAAGUCUGUGGUGAGAGAAGGCAUGGAGGCAGGAACAGGAAGCUGAGGGUUACAGUUAUUUUUUCAAGACGGUGUCUUUGUAUAACUCUGGCUGUCCUGAACUCACUCUGUAGACCAGGCUGGCUUUGAACUCAGAGAUUCGCCUGCCUCCCACGUGCUGGAAUUACAGGUGUGUGCAAGGGUUCACAUCUUGAACUGCAAGCGUGAAAUGAAAGAAACUAGAAAUGGCUUGUGUCUUUAAACUCUGAAAGCACCUGACACACUCUGAGUCAAUCAGGCUUCUUUAGAGGAACGGAACUGGUAGACUGAAUCUAUCUGUACAUAAAGGGGAUUUGGUCCAGUGGCUUACAGGCUGUAGUCCCGCUAGUCCAACAAUGGCUGACUACCAACAGAAGGUCCAAGAAUCCAGCAUUCCAUGGGGCUGGAUGUCUCAGCUGGUCUUCCAAUCACGCCAGAACCCCAGAGAAAUAGGCUGUAAUGCCAGGGAAGGAAGGGACUUUCCAUGGGAGUGAGGGCUUGCUUCUUCCUCGUGCUGUCUAAGGCGGCCACCAGAAGGUUCGCCUCACAGUUAGUAUAGGGUGGGUCUUCUGACCUUGAGUGGUCUGGAUUUAAGUGGUUUUUCCUACCUCGCAUGAUUCAAUUAACUAAAAAUCCCUCCCCAGCAGCUUGGGUUUUCAGUUAAUUCCAGAUGUCAUCAAGUUGACAACCAAGAGUAGGCACCACACAUUCAUUCCAACAGGGCCACACCUCUUAGUCCUUCCCCAAACAGUGGGGGUUGGGGAGGGGAGCAGGACCAAGCAUUAUAAUGCAUAAGGCUAUAUAAACUGUUAUGUUUUAAAACGCGGUAUAAUGAGGUGUAAUUGCAGUGGCAGCGGUAAUAAGAAUGUACGUGGCAGGCCCAUGCCAAGGUGUCCCCCUGAGGAAUCACACCAUGUGACAGGCCUAGUAUAAGGAAGAUUUCUUAUGGAGGAAAGGACAGGAGCGAGGACCUGGGGAAGUGCGGAGCAGAGCUAUGAGGGCAGAGAAGCCGGGAAAGAGAACAGAAAGAGAGGAAGGGAGGAAGAGAGGCCGGCCGGGAACAUGUGGGAACAGAGAGACAAGAGUUGGAGUAGCGUGCCUCAGUCCAGUCGUUUUAUAUGCCUGGCUCACACCAGACGGCAGGUGAUGAUGUAAGCUGUUGCUAGGUAGCUGUUGGGCGGAGCCUAGCAGACUUGUUUGUAAGCCAACUAAACCCCCAUGAUGGAUACAGAAAGACUGCAGAUUCACGCCCACUCCCAGACCUCAUACUUCAGUGCAGGAGAAAGCUGACCAAAACUGGGUGUAGUUGUUCACACCUACACUACACCUACAGCCUCAGUACUAAGGAUGCCGAGGUAGAAGACAGGGAACUCCAGGUCAGCCUGUUUUGCUUAGGUAAAUAUUGUCCAAGCCACAGCAGACAAGGCAAAUUACUGCUGUCUGUGCGCUCCAGGCAUAGACACUGUGGGAGUCCAGAGGAAGGCUGGGAUCGGUAAUUAAUCUAGAUACUUUAAUUCAUAAGCGGCUGAGCAGGCUGCCAAAGUGGUUCCAGGCCAGUCAGGGCUACACAGCAAGACCCUGUCUCAAAAAAAUGAGAGGGGGGCUGGGGGAGGAGAAGAGAAGAAAAGGGAAAAAACCUGGUGGUGGCAGCAUGCACCUUUAAUCCCAAGGUUCAAGAAGCAGAGGCAGGUGAACCUCUGUGAGUUCAAGACCAGCCUUGGUCUACAGAGUGAGUUCCAGGACAGCCAGGGCUACAUACAUAGAGAAAUCUCUUCUCAAACAAACAAAUACAAAACAAAACAGAAAACUGAAAGAAAAAAAAUUGCUUAGGAGGCCAGAGAGAUGUGCUUGUUAUGCAAGAAUGAGGAACUGAGUUUGCACCCCUGUGCUCACAUAAAGGCUGGGUGUGGGGGAAUCAGCCUUUAACCCCAGCACUGGCUAUUUGGAUGUGUUCCUGGAAUUCGUGAGCCAAACAGUCUAACCAAACAGUCAAACAGCCAGUUUCAGGUUUUGUGAGAGACACUGUCUCAGAAAACAAGACCUCUGGAACUCUAGCGUGAUUCUCUCUCUCUCUCUCUCUCUCUCUCUCUCUCUCUCUCUCUCUCUCUCUCUCUCUCUCUGUGUGUGUGUGUGUGGUGUGUGUGUGUGUGUGUGUGUGUGUGUGUGUUUAGGACAGGGAGGGCAUUGGGUGAUGAAAAGUGGUGGUGGGGUGCUCUCAGGAAUUUUCUAAAAUGUUUUCAGAAUGCCCCAGAACCAGCUUUCAAGCAAAGAAGGGCUCCUGGAAUUUUCGACUUGAAGACUUGACAUCUCCCAAGUCCAGUGGGAGAGCUGACUGAGCUCCCCGGGCAGGUGUGGCCUCCAGCCACCUCCCCAUGCAAGAGUGCAACAGCAGCCUGGUGGCCCCAAGCUCGGCCUUCCAGAAGACAAUGGCUGUGGUCCUUUCUCACACGUCCUGAAAGAGGAACCUGUACAGAGGAUCUGUGGGAUGGGUUGCCACCGUUCAGGACUUCUCUCGCUGUGAUGGAAAGUCAGGUACAAACUCAAGGCAGCAAACCUGGAGACAGGAGCUGGUACAGAGGCGAUGGAGGAGUGCUGCUUACUGGCUUGCUCUCCAAGGCUUGCUCAGUUUUCUUAUGUCACCUGAGACUACCUGCCCAGGAGCUACCACUUACAGUGGGCAAUCCUACAUCAACCACUAAUUAAGACUUGCCCAGAGACCAAUCUUAUGGAAGCAUUUCACAAUUGAGAGUCCCCACUCCCACCCCAAUGACUCUAGCUUGUGUCAAGUUGACAAAAGCUCAAACCAAACCAAAACACAGUCACCACCCACUUUACUGGGUGAGCUUUUCUUCAUUGGCUGAAGUUGGUGCCUUUCACGUCUGGCUGGUCCGUGGCUACCUUGGAGCCAAUCAGCUGUGGUUAGGGGAAUACAGACAUUUCCUUUCGAGUCAGACCCACAGUAGUGGUUGACUUUUGUGACCUUCUUGGCAGGACUCAGUGGCUGCCAGUCAGUAAAGUGCUGGCCAACUUGAGCUGCAGCCUUGCUUUUUUUUUCCAUAAAGUGGUGGAGAUAACAGGAACACGAAACAACUUGAGCUAAUGGCCCUUCCAGAGCGCUAAAGAGGUCUGCAUAGAUCCUAAAGGACUAGACACCAAAUCUCCUUUUUUUAAAAAAAGAUUUAUUUCAUGUAUAUGAGUACACUGUCACUGUCUUCAGACACACCAGAAGAGAGCAUUAGACCUCACUUCAGAUGGUCAUGAGCCACCAUGUGGUUGCUGGGAUUUGAACUCAGGACCUCUGGAAGAGCAGUCAGUGCUCUUAACCGCUGAGCCAUCUCUCCAGCCCCCCAAAUCUCCUUUUUAAAUCCUGACAGUUACACGCAUUUGCUUCUAGACAUAGAAUGUGGGGUCACUCUCCUGGUGGUAAACACUAAUCCCCUCCCUUGUCUUUCUCUCAUUUUUUUGUCCCUGAAGAAGGGAUGAAUGGAUGAAUGUCUUAGGCACUCCUGUUUCUGAGAUGGAGUGAAGGGGACUUGCUUCCUCCUAAUGGGAGAACAAGAACAUUUCCACAAAUACUUUUUAAAAAAGAUUUAUUAUAUAUAAGUACACUGUAGCUGCCUCCAGACACACCAGAAGAGGGCAUCAGACCUCAUUUCGGAUGGUUGUGAGCCACCAUGUGGUUGCUGGGAUUUGAACUCUGAAACUCUGGAAGGGCAAUCAGUGCUCUUAACCACUGAGCCAUCUCUCCAGCCCUCCACAAAUAUUCUUGACUCUGAGAGUUUAGACCUAGCUACUCCUCAAAGCCAUGUUUCUGUAAGAGAAAUAUUUCUUUUAUGCUGUUUACACUUGGUCUGGCUGACGGUUUGAUUGGAAAAUCUGUGGCAUAUAAAUGGCAAGAAACCCAUUUAGUUCUCAGGCUGGUAGAACAAGCACUCUGGGAUCCAGGUAGCCCCUGGAGGUCAUACCCCGAGGUCACAGUUUCCUCACUGUUCAGGUUUAGAUUCAUCCCACACAGGGCACUGCUCACUGGGCUGGCGCCUGCAGAAGGAGCACUUUGUUGUCCGGAGGGUUGCUCAGUGUGUGGUGCACAUCUAAAUCCCAGCACUUGGAAGGCAGAGGCAGGUGGAUAUCUGUGAGUUCAAAGCCAGGUUGGUCUAUGUAAUAAAACCUUGUCUCAAAAACGAAUACAACAACCAAAACAGGCUAGAGGGGCCCUGGCCAUGGCUCUGAGCCCAAGGAUACUUCAGCAGUGAGAGUUCUUUUCUUCUGGUGACUUGACUUCCAGGAUCGAUCCUUGUUUUUCAUGCCCAUCUUUGUGGGGAUUCUUAGUGAUGGAUAGAAAAGGCACCUUUAAAAGUCAGUAUUUGCUGAGUAUAACCAGUUUCUGUGAGUAUAGAAAAUUGUAUCAGGGACAGCAGUUUGGUAGUCUCUACCUUUAAAAGAAAGAUUUGUUUUUAUUUCAUGUGUAUGUUUUUGCCUGUAUGUGCACCAUAUGCAUGCAGUACCCAAAAAGCCCAGCAGAGGGCGGUCGUGAAAUGUCACGUGGGUGCUAGAACCCAAACCUGGCUCUUCUGCAAGAGUAGCCAAGCGCUCUGAACUGUUGAGCCAGCCCUACAGGCCCCUCUCAGUAUUUUUAAAAAUACAGUUUCAGACAUGUAUAUAAUACCCUCUCCUUUUUAUGCCUUCUCACCCUUCUAACCUCCACUCCUCCUCCCUGCUUCCCCGUUUCCCCUCCCUUCCCUGCACCCUCACUCCCCACCCCUACCCCAACUCCCUGGCUCUGC